GGCUGGUCCAAGUGCAGUGGUGUUUACAAUUAAUUGAUCAUAGUCAGUUACAGAUUUCUUUGUUCCUUUUCCACUCCCACUGCUUCACUUGGGGCUAGAGCAUAA
Molecule: unclassified non-coding RNA, 105 nt
Organism: Sorex araneus (European shrew)
Lineage: Eukaryota; Metazoa; Chordata; Mammalia; Eulipotyphla; Soricidae
Rfam family: Y RNA
About the family: Y RNAs are components of the Ro ribonucleoprotein particle (Ro RNP), in association with Ro60 and La proteins. The Y RNAs and Ro60 and La proteins are well conserved, but the function of the Ro RNP is not known. In humans the RNA component can be one of four small RNAs -- hY1, hY3, hY4 and hY5.
Source: Ensembl